GUCCCGAUGUGGUAGCGGAUAUCCUUAGGGCUUGCGGAGCCUUAGACCCGGGUUCGAGUCCCGGCCGGGACGC
This 73-nucleotide transfer RNA is filed under the name ANME-2 cluster archaeon. RNAcentral describes it as "tRNA-Arg". It matches the Rfam family "tRNA". From Rfam's summary of the family: Transfer RNA (tRNA) molecules are approximately 80 nucleotides in length. Their secondary structure includes four short double-helical elements and three loops (D, anti-codon, and T loops). RNAcentral also lists the same sequence under 2 other names. The record is from RNAcentral. Lineage: Archaea; Methanobacteriati; Methanobacteriota; Methanomicrobia; Methanosarcinales.